GGGGAAUUUUCCGCAAUGGGCGAAAGCCUGACGGAGCAAUACCGCGUGAGGGAGGAAGGCUCUUGGGUUGUAAACCUCUUUUCUCAGGGAAGAAAUUUUGACGGUACCUGAGGAAUAAGCAUCGGCUAACUCCGUGCCAGCAGCCGCGGUAAUACGGAGGAUGCAAGCGUUAUCCGGAAUGAUUGGGCGUAAAGCGUCCGCAGGUGGCUGUGUAAGUCUGCUGUUAAAUAGUGAGGCUCAACCUCAUAAAGGCAGUGGAAACUACAUGGCUAGAGUGCGUUCGGGGCAGAGGGAAUUCCUGGUGUAGCGGUGAAAUGCGUAGAGAUCAGGAAGAACACCGGUGGCGAAAGCGCUCUGCUAGGCCGCAACUGACACUGAGGGACGAAAGCUAGGGGAGCGAAUGGGAUUAGAUACCCCAGUAGUCCUAGCCGUAAACGAUGGAUACUAGGCGUGGCUUGUAUCGACCCGAGCCGUGCCGUAGCUAACGCGUUAAGUAUUCCGCCUGGGGAGUACGCAGGCAACUGUGAAACUCAAAGGAAUUGACGGGGGCCCGCACAAGCGGUGGAGUAUGUGGUUUAAUUCGAUGCAACGCGAAGAACCUUACCAGGACUUGACAUGUCGCGAAUCCCUGCGAAAGUAGGGAGUGCCUUCGGGAGCGCGAACACAGGUGGUGCAUGGCUGUCGUCAGCUCGUGCCGUGAGAUGUUGGGUUAAGUCCCGCAACGAGCGCAACCCUCGUUUUUAGUUGCCAUCAUUAAGUUGGGCACUCUAGAGAGACUGCCGGUGACAAACCGGAGGAAGGUGGGGAUGACGUCAAGUCAGCAUGCCCCUUACGUUCUGGGCUACACACGUACUACAAUGCGACGGACAAUGGGCAGCUACCCAGCGAUGGCAAGCUAAUCUCAUAAACCGUCGCUCAGUUCAGAUCGCAGGCUGCAACUCGCCUGCGUGAAGGAGGAAUCGCUAGUAAUUGCAGGUCAGCAUACUGCAGUGAAUUCGUUCCCGGGCCUUGUACACACCGCCCGUCACACCAUGGAAGCUGGUAGUGCCCGAAGUCAUUACCCCAACCUUCGGGGGGGGGAUGCCUAAGGCAGGACUGGUGACUGGGGUGAAGUCGUAACAAGGUAGCCGUACCGGAAGGUGUGGCUGGAUCACCUCCUU
RNAcentral lists this ribosomal RNA (1160 nucleotides) under Tolypothrix carrinoi HA7290-LM1. Its description in RNAcentral is "bacterial SSU rRNA". It matches the Rfam family "Bacterial small subunit ribosomal RNA", at positions 356 to 1532 of the family's 1533-position model. The record is from RNAcentral. Lineage: Bacteria; Bacillati; Cyanobacteriota; Cyanophyceae; Nostocales; Tolypothrichaceae.